RNAcentral lists this long non-coding RNA (832 nucleotides) under Helianthus annuus (common sunflower). RNAcentral's name for it is "sRNA HanXRQr2_Chr12g0521131". Lineage: Eukaryota; Viridiplantae; Streptophyta; Magnoliopsida; Asterales; Asteraceae. The record is from RNAcentral.
AUGGAAGAUGGGAUCAUUGGAAUGGCGGUUGGUGGUGUUUUGGGUGAAGGUAAGAGAAUGAAUUACUUGAGGAGGGAUGAGGUGGCUGGUGGUGAAGGAGGAGCUUUGUAGAAGAAUCUAGACUUGUUUUGAUGGUGAAAAGCAGAUCAGGGGGGAUAGGCAUACCAGAGAUCAUGUAUUUGUAAACAAGUGCUUGAUGUUCAAGUUCUUGCCAUUGAGUGGCUGUGAAGGGAUACCUUCCACUAUGAUUCCUUACACCUUCACCUGCUGUUGUACUCAUCAUCUUGAUUCUUGAGAAUUUGGUUGCCCAGGCUGAAAUUAACCUCAAAAAAGAGAAAAAAGAAGAAGAAGUUGAAUUUGGGUGCUUGAGGGGUAAAGACAGAUAAAGAAAUUGAAAAGCAGAACAAACCCUUUAUUAUAGAGAUGGUGUGUGUCUUGUGCAGACUGCAAACACUGAUGCAUCUGCUGCAACUAUGCUGCCUUUAUGGCAGCUAUUGUCUCUGACAAAAUUUAUACGGAAACCCAUGAUAAUGGGCAGGCUCAAGAGAGAGAGUGUGAAUGUGUGUGUAUUUAAAAAAAGAAAAUAAUAAUAAUAAUAAUAAGAGUGUGUGUGUGUGAGAGGAGAGAGUUGGUAUCUGAAACCACAGCAGCACAGGGUGACAGACAAAAGUGGCAGUGGCCAUGAUCAUGAGAGAAGUGUGUACGGUUUUUUGCAUACUUUUUACUUUUACUUUUUUCAUCUCUGUGAAUAGUAAAUGGUAAGACAAUAUGUUUUGGGUUAAUAUCAAUCACUACUGUGCACGUGAAUGGAAGGUAAGUAUGUAUUUGAUCC